UGACCGGUCUCACGUCCUGCCGUGGCCGGUGCUGCGAGAAUCGAAGAGAGAGAGAGAGAGAGAGAGAGAGAGAGAGAGAGAGAGAGAGAGGGAGAGAGAGAGAAAGCCAGUUUCAGAUUUUCUAUACCCAAGUUUGAAGUAUUUACAAGUUUGCCACUGAACUAGUUUUGGUCGCCAUUUCUUCGUUACAACUCCGAUCCAAGCCUAUCGAAUGUCUACGAACUCAUCUCAGUACAGCCUACGUAACCAUA
RNAcentral lists this long non-coding RNA (251 nucleotides) under Prunus persica (peach). RNAcentral describes it as "long non-coding RNA (PPER_LNC003498)". The record is from RNAcentral. Lineage: Eukaryota; Viridiplantae; Streptophyta; Magnoliopsida; Rosales; Rosaceae.